This is a long non-coding RNA of Bombyx mori (domestic silkworm), 817 nucleotides long. RefSeq lists it as uncharacterized. The record is from RefSeq and is a predicted model, not a curated record. The transcript is spliced from 2 exons. Lineage: Eukaryota; Metazoa; Arthropoda; Insecta; Lepidoptera; Bombycidae.
AAAUUGUAUUAUAAUAAUUGUAAACAUUCCUUUAAAUACAUUGUUCUUAUACCAAAUACUGUGGUUACGUAUUAACGGGAGGGUAGUUUAUAAAAAAAACGCUGUCAACCUUAAGAUCACUCCCCACCGAGACCGAAGGUCGCGCCAUUAGGUCAGCGUUGUCCGUGCUUAGGUUAGCUUGCCAGUGCUGCUCGAAGUCUGCAGUGAGCCGGCUGCGAUGGACCUAUUGAGGCUGCGAUGCUGGCUUGCUGUGGGAUGACUGUUGAUCACUUGUUUUUAAUUGUGAGAGUGCGGGAGCUAUGUUAGUCGAUGUUGAUGCUGUAGCUGAAGAAGUUGUUGUAAUUGUUUCGUCUAUGGUCACCAGUUUCAGAGGUUUAACGAAAAAGGGAAGAUAUUCCAUCGACCUGGUGAUAUUGCUCGGUAGACCGACGAACCGAAUGUUGUAAUUUGGCACUUGUAACUAUGCAAACCUAUCUUGAAAAUGUCGUAAGCGAGUUUCAAACGUCUGUCAAAUAUCUUGUGUUUUAUGAUGGCUACCCGCCACACAUUUAUGAUGUAUACAAUAUGUUGCUGUCCUUCUCUGAGGUGAAGGACGAAAUAAAAAAAAAUCUAACUUGUGUAAAAUAAAAUAUCAGAAAAGGGCCGUCCACAUCCUCUUCGACCGGGCAUCGGAAAACGGGUUCCCCGCGCUAAAGAAAAAGGGUAGUCCACGUCGAAAAUUAUUUUUAUAUCAUGCGAUCUACGAUAUUUUUUUAAAUUAUUAAAAUCUUUUUUGGAAGAAAAAACAAACACUAAAAUACAAAAUUUUUUAUUUGUA